AACGAACGCUGGCGGCAUGCCUAACACAUGCAAGUCGAACGAGACCUUCGGGUCUAGUGGCGCACGGGUGCGUAACGCGUGGGAACCUGCCCUUAGGUUCGGAAUAACACCCCGAAAGGGGUGCUAAUACCGGAUAAUGUCUUCGGACCAAAGAUUUAUCGCCUUUGGAUGGGCCCGCGUUGGAUUAGCUAGUUGGUAGGGUAAAAGCCUACCAAGGCGACGAUCCAUAGCUGGCCUGAGAGGAUGAUCAGCCACACUGGGACUGAGACACGGCCCAGACUCCUACGGGAGGCAGCAGUGGGGAAUAUUGGACAAUGGGCGAAAGCCUGAUCCAGCAAUGCCGCGUGAGUGAUGAAGGCCUUAGGGUUGUAAAGCUCUUUUACCCGGGAUGAUAAUGACAGUACCGGGAGAAUAAGCUCCGGCUAACUCCGUG
This 433-nucleotide ribosomal RNA is filed under the name uncultured bacterium. RNAcentral's name for it is "partial 16S ribosomal RNA". It matches the Rfam family "Bacterial small subunit ribosomal RNA", at positions 29 to 507 of the family's 1533-position model. The record is from RNAcentral.